GAUGAACGCUGGCGGCGUGCCUAAUACAUGCAAGUCGAGCGAACAGACGAGGAGCUUGCUCCUCUGACGUUAGCGGCGGACGGGUGAGUAACACGUGGAUAACCUACCUAUAAGACUGGGGUAACUUCGGGAAACCGGAGCUAAUACCGGAUAAUAUAUUGAACCGCAUGGUUCAAUAGUGAAAGACGGUUUUGCUGUCACUUAUAGAUGGAUCCGCGCCGCAUUAGCUAGUUGGUAAGGUAACGGCUUACCAAGGCAACGAUGCGUAGCCGACCUGAGAGGGUGAUCGGCCACACUGGAACUGAGACACGGUCCAGACUCCUACGGGAGGCAGCAGUAGGGAAUCUUCCGCAAUGGGCGAAAGCCUGACGGAGCAACGCCGCGUGAGUGAUGAAGGUCUUCGGAUCGUAAAGCUCUGUUAUUAGGGAAGAACAAAUGUGUAAGUAACUAUGCACGUCUUGACGGUACCUAAUCAGAAAGCCACGGCUAACUACGUG
Molecule: ribosomal RNA, 497 nt
Filed under: uncultured bacterium
Lineage: Bacteria
Description: partial 16S ribosomal RNA
Rfam family: Bacterial small subunit ribosomal RNA
Source: RNAcentral